AUUGAACGCUGGCGGCAGGCCUAACACAUGCAAGUCGAGCGGAUGAAGGGAGCUUGCUCCUGGAUUCAGCGGCGGACGGGUGAGUAAUGCCUAGGAAUCUGCCUGGUAGUGGGGGAUAACGUCCGGAAACGGGCGCUAAUACCGCAUACGUCCUGAGGGAGAAAGUGGGGGAUCUUCGGACCUCACGCUAUCAGAUGAGCCUAGGUCGGAUUAGCUAGUUGGUGGGGUAAAGGCCUACCAAGGCGGCGAUCCGUAACUGGUCUGAGAGGAUGAUCAGUCACACUGGAACUGAGACACGGUCCAGACUCCUACGGGAGGCAGCAGUGGGGAAUAUUGGACGAUGGGCGAAAGCCUGAUCCAGCCAUGCCGCGUGUGUGAAGAAGGUCUUCGGAUUGUAAAGCACUUUAAGUUGGGAGGAAGGGCAGUAAGUUAAUACCUUGCUGUUUUGACGUUACCAACAGAAUAAGCACCGGCUAACUUCGUG
Molecule: ribosomal RNA, 484 nt
Filed under: uncultured bacterium
Lineage: Bacteria
Description: partial 16S ribosomal RNA
Rfam family: Bacterial small subunit ribosomal RNA
Source: RNAcentral